Molecule: ribosomal RNA, 411 nt
Filed under: uncultured Pseudomonas sp.
Lineage: Bacteria; Pseudomonadati; Pseudomonadota; Gammaproteobacteria; Pseudomonadales; Pseudomonadaceae
Description: bacterial SSU rRNA
Rfam family: Bacterial small subunit ribosomal RNA
Source: RNAcentral
ACCAGGCCUUGACAUGCAGAGAACUUCAGAGAUGGAUUGGUGCCUUCGGGAACUCUGACACAGGUGCUGCAUGGCUGUCGUCAGCUCGUGUCGUGAGAUGUUGGGUUAAGUCCCGUAACGAGCGCAACCCUUGCCCUUAGUUACCAGCACGUUAUGGUGGGCACUCUAAGGAGACUGCCGGUGACAAACCGGAGGAAGGUGGGGAUGACGUCAAGUCAUCCCAUGGCCCUUACGGCCUUGGGCUACACACGUGCUACAAUGGUCGGUACAAAGGGUUGCCAAGCCGCGAGGUGGAGCUAAUCCCAUAAAACCGAUCGUAGUCCGGAUCGCAGUCUGCAACUCGACUGCGUGAAGUCGGAAUCGCUAGUAAUCGUGAAUCAGAAUGUCACGGUGAAUACGUUCCCGGGCCUU